RNAcentral lists this small nuclear RNA (18 nucleotides) under Arabidopsis thaliana (thale cress). RNAcentral describes it as "snRNA_00206". The record is from RNAcentral. Lineage: Eukaryota; Viridiplantae; Streptophyta; Magnoliopsida; Brassicales; Brassicaceae.
AAUGGAUUAACGAGAUUC